This is a non-coding RNA of Oryza meridionalis, 193 nucleotides long. The record is from Rfam. Lineage: Eukaryota; Viridiplantae; Streptophyta; Magnoliopsida; Poales; Poaceae.
UUUAAGUGCAACCAUGAGUUUCCGUGUCCAACUUUGAUGGUCCGUCUUAUUUAAAAAAAUUAUAAUUAGUAUUUUUGUUGUUAUGAGAUAAUAAAACAUGAACUAUACUUUACUCGUGACUUAUUUUUUUUUAUUUUCUUAAAAUAAGACGGACGAUUAAAGUUUAGCGUGGAAAACCAUGGCUGCACUUAAA